RNAcentral lists this long non-coding RNA (371 nucleotides) under Fukomys damarensis (Damara mole-rat). RNAcentral describes it as "lncRNA (ENSFDAG00000031286.1)". Lineage: Eukaryota; Metazoa; Chordata; Mammalia; Rodentia; Bathyergidae. The record is from RNAcentral.
CUGAGCACCUUGUAAGCCCAGAUUUCCAUCUUGCAGGUCUGGGCAGACUGCAGACUCGCUGUCCGAGGGAGCGCUGUCCAUCUGACCUGCCCUGACCACACUGUGCCCAGGGGUGCUUUGGAUCAGCACAGCAGACUUCUCCACUGAGGACUCACUGUGACCAAAUCCCCUGGAAUACACUAACGGGCCUUCUGCCCUGAGCGCAGGAAGUGGUCUACGCAGCAGCCUUCCGGAAGGCAGGAGGCCGCGUGCGGUUCAGGGCGGGUGAAGAGGUCUGAUUUCAGUGAGGAAGUUGGAACCAAGCGAGAGGCACAUGGCGACUUCCUGUGCCAUCUUCCGAACUUUCCUACCUAGACCCAGGGCACCCUCUG